RNAcentral lists this ribosomal RNA (106 nucleotides) under Escherichia coli. RNAcentral's name for it is "partial 23S ribosomal RNA". It matches the Rfam family "Bacterial large subunit ribosomal RNA", at positions 2820 to 2925 of the family's 2925-position model. RNAcentral also lists the same sequence under 5 other names. The record is from RNAcentral. Lineage: Bacteria; Pseudomonadati; Pseudomonadota; Gammaproteobacteria; Enterobacterales; Enterobacteriaceae.
GAGUCUCCUGAAGGAACGUUGAAGACGACAACGUUGAUAGGCCGGGUGUGUAAGCGCAGCGAUGCGUUGAGCUAACCGGUACUAAUGAACCGUGAGGCUUAACCUU